Molecule: ribosomal RNA, 466 nt
Filed under: uncultured bacterium
Lineage: Bacteria
Description: partial 16S ribosomal RNA
Rfam family: Bacterial small subunit ribosomal RNA
Source: RNAcentral
GAUGAACGCUGGCGGCGUGCUUAACACAUGCAAGUCGAACGGUGAAGCCAAGCUUGCUUGGUGGAUCAGUGGCGAACGGGUGAGUAACACGUGAGCAACCUGCCCUGGACUCUGGGAUAAGCGCUGGAAACGGCGUCUAAUACUGGAUAUGAGCCUCUUCCGCAUGGUGGGGGUUGGAAAGAUUUUUUGGUCUGGGAUGGGCUCGCGGCCUAUCCGCUUGUUGGUGAGGUAAUGGCUCACGAAGGCGUCGACGGGUAGCCGGCCUGAGAGGGUGACCGGCCACACUGGGACUGAGACACGGCCCAGACUCCUACGGGAGGCAGCAGUGGGGAAUAUUGCACAAUGGGCGAAAGCCUGAUGCAGCAACGCCGCGUGAGGGAUGACGGCCUUCGGGUUGUAAACCUCUUUUAGCAGGGAAGAAGCGAAAGUGACGGUACCUGCAGAAAAAGCGCCGGCUAACUACGUG